CAAUGGGCCAAUAACUUAUAACUGAUCGGUUAGAAAAAUACAUUCCCUAGUUUCUCUUUUCCUUUUCCUUGAAUGCACUCAAGAACAUUCUCUUUGUUUAAAUCCUCUUCAUCUUGUUCCGCAGCGCUACCCUAAGCAUUGGGAUUAGGGCUUUUAACUAGUAAUUAUUGCAGAAUUAAGGAGCUACGUCAAUCCUAAUUGUGUCUGCACUCUGCCACACCUCAUUUUGAUUGAUUCAUCAUCAACUUAAUCUGUGAAUAAUCUUUGAAUUCGAUCACAGAUUAAGUUUCGUUUCUUCGAGUUGGAGGAAUCCGCAAUCUGUUUUCCCUCGCUCUCCUCCCAUCCAAUCAAUUAGAGAUCUAAAUCUCGUUACUGCGGCAUCAUUCCCUCCGUAAGAAACUCACAAUUCUUGACUGCUAGAGAGAUGCUGUUGAUUGUUGAAGUUCGUAGAGAAAGCUAUCAAAUCCAAGUGAUAAAUUUGCGCCAUCAAAUAAAAAUCUUGUCAUCUUAUAUACAGCUCAAGCCUAAAGCUCUC
Molecule: long non-coding RNA, 535 nt
Organism: Vigna radiata var. radiata (mung bean)
Lineage: Eukaryota; Viridiplantae; Streptophyta; Magnoliopsida; Fabales; Fabaceae
Exons: 4
Source: RefSeq, a predicted model, not a curated record